GUAUGGGUGGCAGAUCCCGGCAAAUGCAGAAGACCUAAGCCCUCCUUAUAGGGGUUCAACUCCCCUCCUAUACU
This 74-nucleotide transfer RNA is filed under the name Gambusia vittata (Gulf gambusia). RNAcentral describes it as "tRNA-Leu". It matches the Rfam family "tRNA". Rfam says of the family: Transfer RNA (tRNA) molecules are approximately 80 nucleotides in length. Lineage: Eukaryota; Metazoa; Chordata; Actinopteri; Cyprinodontiformes; Poeciliidae. The record is from RNAcentral.